UGUCUCCUGAGUGGCUGUAUCUGCUUUUCUCAGCCAGCUCCUGUGGGAUGUAACUCGGAUGUGAUGUCUGUUGAGACCCUACCUCUACAGUCUGAAAGGAUGUUACACGGCUGCAAGUAAAACAAUCCACUUAAGGCCUUUUGCUGCUUCUCCAUCACCAUCCAUAGUGCCAAAGACCACUGUGCCUAGGAUCCAAACAAGUUCAUGCAGUUGCAAGAGAAGAGCACUUCAUCUCGGGAUGUACCACUGGCCUACAGCUUCCCUGAGGUGGGGGAUGGGAAACAACGCUACAGGGCAUGCCUGGUGUCCAUCAGAAGCCAUCUGAAAUACAGAAACUGACCAAUGGAAUGGAAGCAAGGAAUAGUAGAUAAUGGAAAAUGGAGUCCAAGCAAGCAUCAAGAGAGAGCUGGAAGGAAAGAGAGCCAGUGUAGAAAACAGAAAAAAGAAAAAAAAACUAUAAUUUUCCAAAAGAGAAGGCUAGUAUGAAAAAUCUGAAUACCACAGAAGAAUGUUUGUAAGUUGAAAUGUGACAGAAGCACAAAUUUUAAAAUAUUUGAAGGAAAAAGAAAAGAUAAACACACAUAGUUACAAGAAGAUAAUAUAAAGAAAA
Molecule: long non-coding RNA, 610 nt
Filed under: Mus spicilegus (steppe mouse)
Lineage: Eukaryota; Metazoa; Chordata; Mammalia; Rodentia; Muridae
Description: lncRNA (ENSMSIG00000009860.1)
Source: RNAcentral